This 253-nucleotide ribosomal RNA is filed under the name uncultured bacterium. Its description in RNAcentral is "partial 16S ribosomal RNA". It matches the Rfam family "Bacterial small subunit ribosomal RNA", at positions 524 to 776 of the family's 1533-position model. The record is from RNAcentral.
UACGUAGGUGGCAAGCGUUGUCCGGAAUUACUGGGCGUAAAGAGCUCGUAGGUGGUUUGUCGCGUUGUUCGUGAAAACUCACAGCUUAACUGUGGGCGUGCGGGCGAUACGGGCAGACUGGAGUACUGCAGGGGAGACUGGAAUUCCUGGUGUAGCGGUGGAAUGCGCAGAUAUCAGGAGGAACACCGGUGGCGAAGGCGGGUCUCUGGGCCGUAACUGACGCUGAGGAGCGAAAGCAUGGGGAGCGAACAGG